RNAcentral lists this ribosomal RNA (1382 nucleotides) under Nocardia cyriacigeorgica. RNAcentral describes it as "bacterial SSU rRNA". It matches the Rfam family "Bacterial small subunit ribosomal RNA". Lineage: Bacteria; Bacillati; Actinomycetota; Actinomycetes; Mycobacteriales; Nocardiaceae. The record is from RNAcentral.
GUCGAGCGGUAAGGCCCUUCGGGGUACACGAGCGGCGAACGGGUGAGUAACACGUGGGUGAUCUGCCUCGCACUCUGGGAUAAGCCUGGGAAACUGGGUCUAAUACCGGAUAUGACCUUACAUCGCAUGGUGUUUGGUGGAAAGAUUUAUCGGUGCGAGAUGGGCCCGCGGCCUAUCAGCUUGUUGGUGGGGUAAUGGCCUACCAAGGCGACGACGGGUAGCCGGCCUGAGAGGGCGACCGGCCACACUGGGACUGAGACACGGCCCAGACUCCUACGGGAGGCAGCAGUGGGGAAUAUUGCACAAUGGGCGAAAGCCUGAUGCAGCGACGCCGCGUGAGGGAUGACGGCCUUCGGGUUGUAAACCUCUUUCGACAGGGACGAAGCGCAAGUGACGGUACCUGUAGAAGAAGCACCGGCCAACUACGUGCCAGCAGCCGCGGUAAUACGUAGGGUGCGAGCGUUGUCCGGAAUUACUGGGCGUAAAGAGCUUGUAGGCGGCUUGUCGCGUCGAUCGUGAAAACUUGGGGCUCAACCCCAAGCUUGCGGUCGAUACGGGCAGGCUUGAGUACUUCAGGGGAGACUGGAAUUCCUGGUGUAGCGGUGAAAUGCGCAGAUAUCAGGAGGAACACCGGUGGCGAAGGCGGGUCUCUGGGAAGUAACUGACGCUGAGAAGCGAAAGCGUGGGUAGCGAACAGGAUUAGAUACCCUGGUAGUCCACGCCGUAAACGGUGGGUACUAGGUGUGGGUUUCCUUCCACGGGAUCCGUGCCGUAGCUAACGCAUUAAGUACCCCGCCUGGGGAGUACGGCCGCAAGGCUAAAACUCAAAGGAAUUGACGGGGGCCCGCACAAGCGGCGGAGCAUGUGGAUUAAUUCGAUGCAACGCGAAGAACCUUACCUGGGUUUGACAUACACCGGAAACCUGCAGAGAUGUAGGCCCCCUUGUGGUCGGUGUACAGGUGGUGCAUGGCUGUCGUCAGCUCGUGUCGUGAGAUGUUGGGUUAAGUCCCGCAACGAGCGCAACCCUUAUCUUAUGUUGCCAGCGCGUAAUGGCGGGGACUCGUGAGAGACUGCCGGGGUCAACUCGGAGGAAGGUGGGGACGACGUCAAGUCAUCAUGCCCCUUAUGUCCAGGGCUUCACACAUGCUACAAUGGCCGGUACAGAGGGCUGCGAUACCGUGAGGUGGAGCGAAUCCCUUAAAGCCGGUCUCAGUUCGGAUCGGGGUCUGCAACUCGACCCCGUGAAGUUGGAGUCGCUAGUAAUCGCAGAUCAGCAACGCUGCGGUGAAUACGUUCCCGGGCCUUGUACACACCGCCCGUCACGUCAUGAAAGUCGGUAACACCCGAAGCCGGUGGCCUAACCCCUUGUGGGAGGGAGCCGU